GAAUCAUGCCCAAAAGAAAACCCCAAAAACCCAAGAAACCAAAAAUCCCCAUAGAAAUAACAGUGACCUACUACGGGCACUCAUAGCCGUUGUUAUGGGUAUUAGUUGGCCCACCCCAAAACCCUAAUUUUACCAACCAUUCACCUUGGGAAACAAUGCCCUACUACAGGCGGUCGUAGCAGAGCAUGCAGAGGGAUAUUUCAAAGUUUCAAAUCUUUUUCAAAUUCAAAUCUC
RNAcentral lists this long non-coding RNA (234 nucleotides) under Lathyrus oleraceus (garden pea). RNAcentral's name for it is "Pisum sativum (pea) long non-coding RNA (PSAT_LNC022805)". Lineage: Eukaryota; Viridiplantae; Streptophyta; Magnoliopsida; Fabales; Fabaceae. The record is from RNAcentral.